This 253-nucleotide ribosomal RNA is filed under the name uncultured bacterium. RNAcentral describes it as "partial 16S ribosomal RNA". It matches the Rfam family "Bacterial small subunit ribosomal RNA", at positions 524 to 776 of the family's 1533-position model. The record is from RNAcentral.
UACGUAGGGGGCAAGCGUUGUCCGGAAUUAUUGGGCGUAAAGGGCGCGCAGGCGGCUACGCACGUCCGUUGUGAAAUCGCUCGGCUCAACUGGGCGGGGUCAGCGGAUACGGCGUGGCUGGAGCAAGCUAGGGGGCAAUGGAAUUCCCGGUGUAGUGGUGGAAUGCGUAGAUAUCGGGAGGAACACCAGUGGCGAAGGCGGUUGCCUGGAGCUUUGCUGACGCUGAGGCGCGAAAGCGUGGGGAGCGAGCCGG